RNAcentral lists this ribosomal RNA (403 nucleotides) under bacterium. RNAcentral's name for it is "partial 16S ribosomal RNA". It matches the Rfam family "Bacterial small subunit ribosomal RNA", at positions 355 to 776 of the family's 1533-position model. RNAcentral also lists the same sequence under 2 other names. The record is from RNAcentral.
UGGGGAAUUUUGCACAAUGGAGGGAACUCUGAUGCAGCGACGCCGCGUGAACGAAGAAGGCUUUCGAGUCGUAAAGUUCUUUUAUAUGGGAAGAUAAUGACGGUACCAUAAGAAAAAGCCCCGGCUAACUACGUGCCAGCAGCCGCGGUAAUACGUAGGGGGCUAGCGUUGUCCGGAAUCACUGGGCGUAAAGGGUUCGCAGGCGGAAAUGCAAGUCAGGUGUAAAAGGCAGUAGCUUAACUACUGUAAGCAUUUGAAACUGCAUAUCUUGAGAAGAGUAGAGGUAAGUGGAAUUUUUAGUGUAGCGGUGAAAUGCGUAGAUAUUAAAAAGAAUACCGGUGGCGAAGGCGACUUACUGGGCUCAUUCUGACGCUGAGGAACGAAAGCGUGGGUAGCAAACAGG